CGUUCUCGCCACUGUGAGCGUUCUGGCGGCCAUUGCUCUCUCUAUUCCUCGGUCUCAAGGGCGAUCCUAUCCCUUGUGAUCGAUGAGCUGGCAAUGGUGGCACAAAAUGUGUUUUCUGCGAGAGUGGAAAGAUGAAGCAGGAAACAGGCUUGGUUGACUGCAAAGUGUGCAAGGGAGCAGGUAUCAUUAUAACUAAAGCAUUCUUAGCCAAGGUCAUAUGCGUGUCUGAGCAUGUUGCUCGAGCUGAUUCACAUCUU
Rhodamnia argentea is the source of this 257-nucleotide long non-coding RNA. RefSeq lists it as uncharacterized. The record is from RefSeq and is a predicted model, not a curated record. Lineage: Eukaryota; Viridiplantae; Streptophyta; Magnoliopsida; Myrtales; Myrtaceae. The transcript has 3 exons.